Molecule: ribosomal RNA, 453 nt
Filed under: uncultured Desulfobulbus sp.
Lineage: Bacteria; Pseudomonadati; Thermodesulfobacteriota; Desulfobulbia; Desulfobulbales; Desulfobulbaceae
Description: bacterial SSU rRNA
Rfam family: Bacterial small subunit ribosomal RNA
Source: RNAcentral
GGAGUAUGUGGUUUAAUUCGAUGCAACGCGAAGAACCUUACCUGGUCUUGACAUCCCGGAGACCCUUAGGAAACUAGGGGUGCUUCCAUCUGGAGAAUCUGGAGACAGGUGCUGCAUGGCUGUCGUCAGCUCGUGUCGUGAGAUGUUGGGUUUAAGUCCCGCAACGAGCGCAACCCUUGCCUUUAGUUGCCAGCAGUUCGGCUGGGCACUCUAAAGGGACUGCCGGUGUUAAACCGGAGGAAGGUGGGGAUGACGUCAAGUCCUCAUGGCCUUUAUGACCAGGGCUACACACGUACUACAAUGGCCGAUACAAAGGGCAGCGACACUGCGAGGUGAAGCCAAUCCCGUAAAAUCGGUCUCAGUCCGGAUUGGAGUCUGCAACUCGACUCCAUGAAGUUGGAAUCGCUAGUAAUCGUGGAUCAGCAUGCCACGGUGAAUACGUUCCCGGGCCUU